RNAcentral lists this ribosomal RNA (462 nucleotides) under uncultured bacterium. RNAcentral's name for it is "bacterial SSU rRNA". It matches the Rfam family "Bacterial small subunit ribosomal RNA", at positions 323 to 803 of the family's 1533-position model. The record is from RNAcentral.
GACACGGCCCAGACUCCUACGGGAGGCAGCAGUGGGGGAUAUUGCACAAUGGAGGAAACUCUGAUGCAGCGACGCCGCGUGAGGGAAGACGGUCUUCGGAUUGUAAACCUCUGUCUUUGGGGAAGAAAAUGACGGUACCCAAAGAGGAAGCUCCGGCUAACUACGUGCCAGCAGCCGCGGUAAUACGUAGGGAGCGAGCGUUGUCCGGAAUUACUGGGUGUAAAGGGAGCGUAGGCGGGCGAGAAAGUUGAAUGUUAAAUCUACCGGCUUAACUGGUAGCUGCGUUCAAAACUUCUUGUCUUGAGUGAAGUAGAGGCAGGCGGAAUUCCUAGUGUAGCGGUGAAAUGCGUAGAUAUUAGGAGGAACACCAGUGGCGAAGGCGGCCUGCUGGGCUUUAACUGACGCUGAGGCUCGAAAGCGUGGGGAGCAAACAGGAUUAGAUACCCUGGUAGUCCACGCUGU